Small nucleolar RNA from Rosa chinensis, 73 nucleotides. RefSeq annotates it as small nucleolar RNA snoR60. The record is from RefSeq and is a predicted model, not a curated record. The transcript has a single exon. Lineage: Eukaryota; Viridiplantae; Streptophyta; Magnoliopsida; Rosales; Rosaceae.
AAGCAAAUGAUGAGUUUACUCGGAUUCCCCUUCAAGACAUCUUGAAAGAUGAAAGCUCGAGUUUUCUGAUGCA